GGCGCGGCAGGCCCCGAGGGGCGCCGUGAGGGAGCUGGGUGCGGGUCUCGGCUCCGCCUCCGGCCGUGGGGCCGACGGAGUCCAGGGCAGGGUACCCAAGUGCGUGUAUCUGAAGUUACUGCGUUCUGAAAAAAGAGUCCCGAUCUCCAAGCGCCCGCACUCCCUCAGGCACCCCCGGGGCUGGGAGAUACUCGCCCGAGAAUAACUGCAUCUGAACUGAGCACAGCUAUCCAUCUGCUUCAGGCAGCCGGAGUGCCUCUCUCCCGCCUGGAGGGGCCGGAGCCGCCGUGCGCUCCCGGGGUCCGGCCCCUCGGGCCGCAGGUGUCCGCGCCGCGCCGCCGGUGCGCUCGCUGCCCUCAGCUCCGCUCCCACGGCUUGUACGCCGGGUGCGGGCAUCCUGCAGGGGUGCCUUCAUUUGUUCAACAGCAUCAUGCACUCUUCUUUCAGGAUAGACGGGCUUCACCGGGCUCGGUGACAGCGGGCUCUCGGCUGAUAUAAAAACCACGAAUUUAGCUACUGGCUUUGCCUGUACACCUGGAACGGGGCAGUGCCAAGUCUGAUCUCCGCUUGCAGAAGUCACUUGUUUUUGAUGAAGGAAAACACGGUUAAUAUCUCUGAAACGGCCAAAUUUUUCCAUCAUUCUGGAACCGCCUCUUGAAAUCUGCUGGGAAAUGUCCCCAGCGUACUGACCACCGCCCCGGUGGUUCUGUGGAGAGGUGACUUUGUCCACGAUUGCUGUAACUUCCAGAGUUGAAUAGCUGCCCUUCGGCCUCUAGUCCUUUCACAUCUUGUACUUUAUCUACCGUAGCAUUUAUACAUUCAGUAUCUACACUGGGGCUUGUCGAGCCCGAGCCCUCGGGCGCUGGCCACGGGGAGAACCGGUGCGGACGCUGUCACCCACCCGGGCUGCGGGGAAGAAACCGAGUCCCGGUACACGGGGAAAGAGAAUCCUCGGUGAGCAACGGGCUUUGAUGGGGCUGUGUGGGGUCGGUAAGGUGGAUGCUCGUGUUCCCCGGUAUAAAUUAGCAGAAGCGUAUCCUACUGAUUUAUUUAUUUUUCCCAGACUAAUGGUGUUAUAGAAGACAUUCUCUCUGGCUCUUGUUGACAAAUAAGUCGUGAGCUACCUGACAGUGUUAGUCCAGUUGUUGCCCAUAUGUCUAAAUACCCUCCUAGAGACGUCAGUGCCGUUUAGGAAGAGAAUUACCUCAAAUGAAAACCAGAAGGAAGAUUUUUUUUUUAUCCUUUUCUUGUCCCCUAAACCCACGUUACACCUGAGGGCAGUAACAUACAGGGAAGAUUUUUGUAAAUUCAGUAUCACUUUCCCCCACAGCAACGAUCUCUUUAAAUGACAGGGUGAGGAGGGGUGCACU
Non-coding RNA from Cyanistes caeruleus (blue tit), 1370 nucleotides. The record is from RefSeq and is a predicted model, not a curated record. NCBI's taxonomy places the organism in Eukaryota, Metazoa, Chordata, Aves, Passeriformes, Paridae.